CAUGUACCACCAUCCAAGGAGACGAGAAAGAGCUAUCAAUCUGUCAAUCCUGUCUGUGUCCGGGCCGGGUGAGGGGAUUGGAAGAGCAC
Molecule: non-coding RNA, 89 nt
Organism: Peromyscus maniculatus bairdii (prairie deer mouse)
Lineage: Eukaryota; Metazoa; Chordata; Mammalia; Rodentia; Cricetidae
Source: RefSeq, a predicted model, not a curated record